This 465-nucleotide ribosomal RNA is filed under the name uncultured bacterium. Its description in RNAcentral is "partial 16S ribosomal RNA". It matches the Rfam family "Bacterial small subunit ribosomal RNA", at positions 28 to 507 of the family's 1533-position model. The record is from RNAcentral.
GACGAACGCUGGCGGCGUGCUUAACACAUGCAAGUCGAACGGAAAGGCCCUGCUUGCAGGGUACUCGAGUGGCGAACGGGUGAGUAACACGUGGGUGAUCUGCCCUGCACUUCGGGAUAAGCCUGGGAAACUGGGUCUAAUACCGGAUAGGAGCCAUUUUUAGUGUGAUGGUUGGAAAGUUUUUUCGGUGUAGGAUGAGCUCGCGGCCUAUCAGCUUGUUGGUGGGGUAAUGGCCUACCAAGGCGGCGACGGGUAGCCGGCCUGAGAGGGUGGACGGCCACAUUGAGACUGAGAGGCGGCCCAGACUCCGACGGGAGGGAGCAGUGGGGAAUAUUGCACAAUGGGCGCAAGCCUGAUGCAGCGGCGCCGCGUAGGGGAUGACGGCCUUCGGGUUGUAAACUCCUUGCGCUAGGGACGAAGCUUUUUGUGACGGUACCUAGACAAAAAGCACCGGCUAACUACGUG